RNAcentral lists this ribosomal RNA (313 nucleotides) under bacterium enrichment culture. Its description in RNAcentral is "bacterial SSU rRNA". It matches the Rfam family "Bacterial small subunit ribosomal RNA", at positions 1220 to 1532 of the family's 1533-position model. The record is from RNAcentral.
ACGUGAUACAAUGGUAGGUACAAUAAGAGGCAAGACCGUGAGGUGGAGCAAAACUUAUAAAGCCUAUCUCAGUUCGGAUUGUAGGCUGCAACUCGCCUACAUGAAGCUGGAGUUGCUAGUAAUCGCGAAUCAGAAUGUCGCGGUGAAUACGUUCCCGGGCCUUGUACACACCGCCCGUCACACCAUGAGAGCUGGUAACACCCGAAGUCCGUGAGGCAACCGUAAGGAGCCAGCGGCCGAAGGUGGGAUUAGUGAUUGGGGUGAAGUCGUAACAAGGUAGCCGUAGGAGAACCUGCGGCUGGAUCACCUCCUU